ACUGUAGUUAGCCGUGGCUUUCUGGUUAGGUACCGUCAAGGUGCCGCCCUAUUUGAACGGCACUUGUUCUUCCCUAACAACAGAGCUUUACGAUCCGAAAACCUUCAUCANCUCACGCGGCGUUGCUCCGUCAGACUUUCGUCCAUUGCGGAAGAUUCCCUACUGCUGCCUCCCGUAGGAGUCUGGGCCGUGUCUCAGUCCCAGUGUGGCCGAUCACCCUCUCAGGUCGGCUACGCAUCGUUGCCUUGGUGAGCCAUUACCUCACCAACUAGCUAAUGCGCCGCGGGUCCAUCUGUAAGUGGUAGCCGAAGCCACCUUUUAUGUUUGAACCAUGCGGUUCAAACAAGCAUCCGGUAUUAGCCCCGGUUUCCCGGAGUUAUCCCAGUCUUACAGGCAGGUUAC
RNAcentral lists this ribosomal RNA (402 nucleotides) under Bacillus sp. MF11. RNAcentral's name for it is "partial 16S ribosomal RNA". The record is from RNAcentral. Lineage: Bacteria; Bacillati; Bacillota; Bacilli; Caryophanales; Bacillaceae.